UCCUACGGGAGGCAGCAGUGGGGAAUAUUGCGCAAUGGGGGGAACCCUGACGCAGCCAUGCCGCGUGAAUGAAGAAGGCCUUCGGGUUGUAAAGUUCUUUCGGUAAUGAGGAAGGGAUGUUAUUAAAUAGAUAGCAUCAUUGACGUUAAUUACAGAAGAAGCACCGGCUAACUCCGUGCCAGCAGCCGCGGUAAUACGGAGGGUGCGAGCGUUAAUCGGAAUAACUGGGCGUAAAGGGCACGCAGGCGGACCUUUAAGUGAGAUGUGAAAUCCCCGAGCUUAACUUGGGAACUGCAUUUCAGACUGGGAGUCUAGAGUACUUUAGGGAGGGGUAGAAUUCCACGUGUAGCGGUGAAAUGCGUAGAGAUGUGGAGGAAUACCGAAGGCGAAGGCAGCCCCUUGGGAAUGUACUGACGCUCAUGUGCGAAAGCGUGGGGAGCAAACAGGAUUAGAUACCCUGGUAGUCC
Molecule: ribosomal RNA, 467 nt
Filed under: uncultured bacterium
Lineage: Bacteria
Description: bacterial SSU rRNA
Rfam family: Bacterial small subunit ribosomal RNA
Source: RNAcentral